CAGCCGCCGCGGGAAUACGAAGGGGGCUAGCGUUGUUCGGAUUUACUGGGCGUAAAGGGCGCGUAGGCGGACUGAUAAGUCAGGGGUGAAAUCCCAAGGCUCAACCUUGGAACUGCCUUUGAUACUGUUUGUCUUGAGUUCGAGAGAGGUAAGUGGAACUGCGAGUGUAGAGGUGAAAUUCGUAGAUAUUCGCAAGAACACCAGUGGCGAAGGCGGCUUACUGGCUCGAAACUGACGCUGAGGCGCGAAAGCGUGGGGAGCAAACAGGAUUAGAUACCCGCGUAGUCCCUGUCUCUUAUAA
Molecule: ribosomal RNA, 301 nt
Filed under: uncultured bacterium
Lineage: Bacteria
Description: partial 16S ribosomal RNA
Rfam family: Bacterial small subunit ribosomal RNA
Source: RNAcentral